CGCACGAUGCAAAAGAUCAAAGAACGUCUGUGAGGAACGGGAAAACCACCUACCCCACCCCACCCCACCGCCGCCGGUCACUCCCCCGGGUGACCUUGCCCAAUCGGGCUGGAUUUCGGGCGGGUUGGCGGGCAUAUGCUCGCGGCGACAACCACAGACAGACGUCGGCCCCCGGCCGGGACGGCAAUCCCGAUCGAGGGCCUGACCAUCAAGGAAGUACGGAGCUUCCCG
RNAcentral lists this non-coding RNA (231 nucleotides) under Streptomyces kanasensis. RNAcentral describes it as "Streptomyces sp. ZX01 Streptomyces sRNA 4677". It matches the Rfam family "Streptomyces sRNA 4677". From Rfam's summary of the family: Located in the intergenic region between anti-sigma factor SCO4677 gene and a putative regulatory protein gene SCO4676. scr4677 expression requires the SCO4677 activity and scr4677 sRNA itself seem to affect the levels of the SCO4676-associated transcripts. Lineage: Bacteria; Bacillati; Actinomycetota; Actinomycetes; Kitasatosporales; Streptomycetaceae. The record is from Rfam by way of RNAcentral.